Molecule: ribosomal RNA, 367 nt
Filed under: Flavobacteriaceae bacterium CC109
Lineage: Bacteria; Pseudomonadati; Bacteroidota; Flavobacteriia; Flavobacteriales; Flavobacteriaceae
Description: partial 16S ribosomal RNA
Source: RNAcentral
UAUCUACGGUACCGUCAGCCACCUACACGUAGGUGGGUUUCUUCCCGUAUAAAAGCAGNNNNNNNNUAGGGCAGUCUUCCUGCACGCGGCAUGGCUGGANNGGCUCCCGCCCAUUGUCCAAUAUUCCUCACUGCUGCCUCCCGUAGGAGUCUGGUCCGUGUCUCAGUANCAGUGUGGGGGAUCCCCCUCUCAGGGCCCCUACCCAUCGUUGCCUUGGUGUGCCGUUACCACACCAACAAGCUAAUGGGACGCAUACCCAUCUUAUACCACCGUAGUUUUAAAUAUGUAAUGAUGCCAAAACAUAUUACUAUGGGGUGUUAAUCCAAGUUUCCCUGGGCUAUACCCCUGUAUAAGGUAGGUUGUAUAC